This 90-nucleotide transfer RNA is filed under the name Lasiosphaeria miniovina. It matches the Rfam family "tRNA". Rfam says of the family: Transfer RNA (tRNA) molecules are approximately 80 nucleotides in length. Their secondary structure includes four short double-helical elements and three loops (D, anti-codon, and T loops). Lineage: Eukaryota; Fungi; Ascomycota; Sordariomycetes; Sordariales; Lasiosphaeriaceae. The record is from Rfam by way of RNAcentral.
UCUUCCGUAGUAUAGUGGUCAGUAUAUGAGCUUGUCACUUUGAAAGAGAUGAUUUCGCUCGGGACCCGGGUUCAAUUCCCGGCGGGAGAG